AUCGAGAAGAACAGACGGACAAGUGUUGUGUUCUGACUUCGAGUGGAGGAGAAACAUUUGAUUCGUUACGACAACAGCGCUACGGCGAAGAUAACAGCAAAGUUUCCAACAGACGCUCGCUGUCGAUACCUCUUCCCUGCUGUUUACUGGAUGACCACUGUGACGUCAUAGGGGCUUGGUCCGAGCAACAGCACUCUACUCUAGCUAGAAAAUAUAAACCAAAUGGAAAUAAUCGGGCUGAUGAUACCUCAUUAUCAGUAAUUGCCUCGGUAAUUCGAGUCAUCGUCCCAUAGAUGUAUUGGCAUGAUCCCGAUAGUGUCUAUCGGCUAGUGAUGUAGAACGCAAUGGGCGCCUCAUCGAACAUACGACGAAGGAUUAAUUAGGUACAACGGCAAGAAAAUAAAAAUAAAUAUUCUAAUGUGUAUAUAAAGGUAAACAGUUUAUAUAUAUUUGUAUUAUACAUUACGUAGACAAUAACGUACACGUCAGUUAAGAAUCAUUAUAUUGACAACGCUCUAGCUACUUGCGAGCGGAUAUGAAGUUUAUCGUGUUUUAUAUAUUAUUAAGUCUUAUUAUGCAACGUAACUGCAACUACGCCGGCAUCAUUGCCGUCGUCGAGGUCACAUGUGCCAAUGGAAAUCCCCAAAAUCAGGGUCAACUGCUUUGUAUACGUAAAACGAUC
Long non-coding RNA from Varroa destructor (honeybee mite), 682 nucleotides. Lineage: Eukaryota; Metazoa; Arthropoda; Arachnida; Mesostigmata; Varroidae. The record is from RefSeq and is a predicted model, not a curated record.